This 497-nucleotide ribosomal RNA is filed under the name uncultured bacterium. RNAcentral's name for it is "partial 16S ribosomal RNA". It matches the Rfam family "Bacterial small subunit ribosomal RNA", at positions 28 to 507 of the family's 1533-position model. The record is from RNAcentral.
GAUGAACGCUGGCGGCGUGCCUAAUACAUGCAAGUCGAGCGAACAGAUGAGGAUCUUGCUCCUCUGACGUUAGCGGCGGACGGGUGAGUAACACGUGGAUAACCUACCUGUAAGACUGGGAUAACUACGGGAAAGCGGAGCUAAUACCGGAUAAUAUAUUGAACCGCAUGGUUCAAUAGUGAAAGACGGUUUUGCUGUCACUUAUAGAUGGAUCCGCGCCGCAUUAGCUAGUUGGUAAGGUAACGGCUUACCAAGGCAACGAUGCGUAGCCGAUCGGAGAGGGUGAUCGGCAACACUGGACCUGAGACACGGCCCAGACUCCUACGGGAGGCAGCAGUAGGGAAUCUUCCGCAAUGGGCGGAAGCCUGACGGAGCAAAGCCGAGUGAGUGAUGAAGGUCUUCGGAUCGUAAUACUCUGUUAUUAGGGAAGAACAAAUGUGUAAGUAACUAUGCACGUCUUGACGGUACCGAAUCAAAAAGCAACGGCUAACUACGUG